RNAcentral lists this long non-coding RNA (437 nucleotides) under Elaeis guineensis (African oil palm). RNAcentral's name for it is "long non-coding RNA (EGUI_LNC071803)". The record is from RNAcentral. Lineage: Eukaryota; Viridiplantae; Streptophyta; Magnoliopsida; Arecales; Arecaceae.
GUUCGGCAGACACCGGAGGCGAUCGAUCGUUGUAGAAAUCAAGCUGCUGGAGCCCAUCUGUUGUAGAAGCUCGUCCGAAAUCCAUCCACUGUGGAAGUUCGGACGGAGUUCGAUUCUUGCAAAAGGCUGAAAGGAGGCCGCUUGUUGUAGAAGCUCGAUCGAAGAUCGGUUAUCGUGGAAGCUCGGAGUAGUGACCUAGCUGAUGGAGUCUGCCCCGUUAUAGAAGCUCAUCUGGGAUCCGUCUAUUGUAGGAGCUCGGCUGUGAUCCGACUAUAAAGAAGCUCGGCUGAAGUCCACAGUAGAAAUUCAAAGUAGAGAUCCAGCUGGUGGAGCCCUUCCAUUGUUGAAAUUCAUCUGGAAUCCUUCCACUGUGGGAGUUCGACUGGAAUCCGAUUUUCGUAGGAGCUCGAAUGGAAUUCAGAAGGUGGUCGACUGCC